RNAcentral lists this ribosomal RNA (520 nucleotides) under Papilio doddsi. RNAcentral's name for it is "partial 16S ribosomal RNA". RNAcentral also lists the same sequence under 1 other name. The record is from RNAcentral. Lineage: Eukaryota; Metazoa; Arthropoda; Insecta; Lepidoptera; Papilionidae.
AAACAUGUUUUUUUGAAAAUAAUUUAAAGUUUAAUCUGCCCACUGAUNAAAUUAUUAAAGGGCUGCAGUAUUUUGACUGUACAAAGGUAGCAUAAUCAUUAGUCUCUUAAUUGGUGACUUGUAUGAAAGAUUGGAUGAAAUAUAUACUGUCUCUAUUUAAUCUAUAAAAUUUAAUUUUUUAGUUAAAAAGCUAAAAUAAAUUUAAAAGACGAGAAGACCCUAUAGAGUUUGAUAAUUUAUUUAAUUAUUAUUAAUAUAUAAAUUUAAAAAUUAAAGUUAAAUAAAUUAUUUUAUUGGGGUGAUAGAAAAAUUAAAUUAACUUUUUUUUUAUUUUAUACAUUAAUUUAUGAAUGAAUGAUCCAUUAAUAAUGAUUAAAAGAAAAAAUUACCUUAGGGAUAACAGCGUAAUUUUUUUUUUUAGUUCAAAUAGGAAAAAAAGUUUGCGACCUCGAUGUUGGAUUAAGAUAAAAUUUAAAUGAAAAAGUUUAAAAUUUUAAUCUGUUCGAUCAUUAAAAUCUUA